Molecule: long non-coding RNA, 794 nt
Filed under: Capsicum annuum
Lineage: Eukaryota; Viridiplantae; Streptophyta; Magnoliopsida; Solanales; Solanaceae
Description: long non-coding RNA (CANN_LNC002077)
Source: RNAcentral
UAAUUUUGGUAAACCUUCUUUGAAUAAGCAUCAUCAUUGCUUUUACCCCUUUUUACGCCACCUUUACCACCUCUUUACCCUUUUAUCUUUCCAACACCCUUUUCUGUCGUCCUCCCACUUCAGCAGUUACCUCAAUUCAUUUCACCUCUUUUCAUCUUCUCCUUGGUUCAUUCACCCCGCUUUAUCUAUCCAUCCCUUCAUCUUCUUCUUUUCCCCUUCAAAACCAUUAUUUUGAUAUCCCUCCAAUGACCAAAACUCUCUCUAUGGCUAAUCUCUUCAAAACCCUUUAGUAGUUCCAUUCUGAUAAUCAAAUCCUCAUCUCUAAAUCUUCUGACGAGUCCUCAUCCUACUCUAGGAAGUCAACUGUCACUAAAAAACAUUUUGCCCCAAGUCUUAAUUCAUCAUUCAGGAAACCUCGUUCAACUUCUCUGGCCUCCAGAAAAGAUGCAUAAGUUUGGACUUGCUCGAAAAAAACAAGUUUACCUCCUUAAAAAGCCGCUCAAUUGUACCCGAUCGAGUAGUAAAUCUCUAUCAAUUAAAGGAAGCUCAUUGCAAUGUCAGUUCCUUUUUAAAAUUUCAAGACCUGUUACUAGUUUUCCAUCUUUGUGGACUUGAAGUUUAUGAGGAUAUUGUUCAAAUGGCUUGAAACAAAGAGAUUAGAGACCCCAAGGAGUCGAAAUUAAAUUAACAAGGAAUGAUGAUCAUUAAUAUUACUGUCGAAGGCUAGGUUACUUUAAACAAAACUGUGCAGAAUUGAAAAGAAGAUCAUUUAGAAGAAAUAAAAACAUAGGGGC